Long non-coding RNA from Dermacentor silvarum, 2713 nucleotides. RefSeq lists it as uncharacterized. Lineage: Eukaryota; Metazoa; Arthropoda; Arachnida; Ixodida; Ixodidae. The transcript is spliced from 3 exons. The record is from RefSeq and is a predicted model, not a curated record.
GGAAAGUUUCAGGCAAGUGUCCGUUCAUUUGGUGUUUCUUUAUUUGAUUACGUGUUAUUGUUGGCUGUAGAAGUAUCUUAUUGUGAUCCCAUAGCAUAUUUCACUAAUGUAAGCGCAAAAGCAGUUGCACGCAAUACUACGGCAAGAUGGCUACCUCGAUUGCCCCCGUGUGUCUAACGUUUCUGUGGCCACGUCGGGCGUGGUGCGCCAGCAUAGUCCCGCUUUGUUUCUGAGCGCUUGAACUAUCGGAAAUGUGGUGUUCUUGCGAGUUCAGCGCGGCUUAUAACACGGUCGUUCGUUUUGUAUCGCGUAGAAAAAGAAGUGACGACUGGCUUCGCCUUUCGAAAGUACCGGCGCAAUAUUGGCUCUCCCUAGCGCGCUCGCGUACUGCUGCUGCUGCUUGCCGGACGCCUUCCUUCAGCGUGUUUUGGGCUCUCUUUCUGUUUGCGUGCGCGCGCGCGCGCGUAUGUGUUUUGUGAGCUUUUUGCGUGGGCGCGCGUGCUUGUGUGUGUGUGUAUGUGUGUGUGUGUGUAUUGUAUAACGUCGGUAGUUUUACACGCAAUAAACCUCUUCAAAAUUGGUGCAGUGGCUGUCCCCGCCCUGAAAACCGAGUUUGGUGUCGAGCCACCCUGGAAGCCACCCUGGGUUAUAUGGAGGCGCCGGAGGACCAGUGGAAGGUGUCAUCCAGAUGACAGCCUCACAAUUCGCAACCUUUGUGCUCUCCAUCAGAAACCCAUCAGGGGCAAGCCACUUAUGUUUGCCUUCAGACAAGACAACAUUGAAGUAGGAUUCCAGCACAGCCAUCCACUGCACUUAUGGUCCAGAUGCUCAGACAAUGGAGUCCCUGUUCCUUGUGGUUAACCGUGAACAGUAUUCUCGCUUUUAAGAAAGCUAAAGGUGAUUUCCUCCAUAAAUUACAAUUUUGCAGCUCAAAUGUAUACACUUUAUCUAAUUUGAAUCAACUAAUAUAUGCUGUUUAAUACUUUUAUACUGUUUGAUACAAUCAUUUCUUGUUUGAGAAUAUUAAGCGUGAUGUUUAACAUUUAUUUAUGCAUGACUGGCUGAUGCAUGAUGGCCGUGUUUAAAAAAUGUGAACUCACACACUUGAAGCUUUAUUCAGUAACCAGAGUAUGGCUGAUUUAAUAAACAUUAUUUCCUCAUUUAUGUACUCAUGUCCUGCAAGCCCUAAUCUUCCAUUUUCGCACCAAGUACAAAUAAUUUAGAAAUUGGCAAUGUAUAUUAACUUCAUCCGCAUGUGGCCAGUAGAGUACCUUAAUGAAGAGUGGUUUGUUUUUAUAAGGCCCCCAUUGAUACGUCACUUCGCACCUAAACAGUAAUAAAUGUGGCGUAUUUAGGCUUUUGUCUUGCAGUAGAAAAGAACCAUUUUCAAGCAACAUAUUUUAUAACAGACCAUGCAGUUCCUUCGCAUUAGAAAAAUUUAAAGAAACCAGAAUUGUAAUUGGAAAAUCUGCUACACAGCAUUUUUAGCUCAGAGAACUCUAUUUACAUUUGAAAAAAAAGUCAUUUAGGUGGGAAAAAAAUUUGCUUGCUCAAGGAACAUUGUUGAGGAGCGAAAAUUCAUCAUGAUGCUCCAGGAUCAAACCUUAUUUAAAGUAAGUUCAUGUGUGGAACAUACUUUGUUUCAGUAUAUCAAAAAUGUUGGCCAGUCAAGCUUUAUAUCCACUUUCCAAAUCAACUUUUCACAAUGACUUGCCAUGACAUUGGUGUACAAAAUAACAGGUGUGUUUCUUGUGUGCUUGCUCUGCAUUUCAUGUACUUCCCUAAUUCACCUUUGUAAUACAUAUAUUCUUUUCAAGGGCCACCAAAGCUAGAAUUUUUGUACUUGAAAUUUAAUAUUGAAAAUUUAUUCCUUUACGUGGCACCAAACUCGGGCUGUUUUAGUGUUACCAUAUAUACAGAUUGUUUCAGUCAACUUAAGCUAAACUUUAAAUAUAUGCAAAUGCUACGUAGCUGGGCAGAACCAAGGUAAUGUUGUUUGCCGUCGCUCGGAGAUACUUGGGCUAUUUUUUGUAUUCUGCCUAAUUAGAUAAUUAGACCUAAUUAUUUAUUCAACUUCUCAAUAAUUAUAAUUAGAUCAAAAGUUCCAAUGAGUAAAUUGUAGAGCAACAUGAGAAACUCCCAAUACAGCUUUCUGUUCAAUACGUGCAACAUAAAAUGUUUUUUCCGAGCGUGAAAGAAGCCCGCGAAUACACGCAAAAUUGUUGUGCGACUGGCCGCUCGAGGCAUUUUACGUGUAUUCGGGGGCAUCUUUCACGCUCGGAAAAACACUUUUGUGUUGCACAUAUUCAACAGAAAGCUGUAUCGGAAAUUUCUCAUGUUGCUCUAUACAAUUGUCUAAUUGACACUUGUCAUCUAAUUAUAAUAAUUGAGAAGUUGAAAAAAUAAUUAAGUCUAAUUAUCUAAUUAGGCGGAAUGCAAAAAAAUAGUCUGAGUAUCCCCAAGCGACGGCAAACAACAUUACCUUGGUUCUGUCUACCUAGGAGCAUUUGCAUAUAUUUAAAGUCUGUCCCAAGUUAACUGAAACACCCUGUAUAUAGGACAGAUUUGAUCAGUUAUAUGUAAAAAAACACACUUUUGCAGGAAAUGUAAGUUUUCGUGUACUUACAAAUGUAUUUGGUGAUUGCGCGUUUUAGGUUAUGUAUCAUGUAGUUAUGUAUUCUAGCAUGGAAUAAUUAUAUUUACUUUCCUUGAA